UAGUGGCGAACGGGUGAGUAAUACGUGAGUAACCUGCCUUUAACUCUGGGAUAAGCCUUGGAAACGGGGUCUAAUACCGGAUACGACCAACCCUCGCAUGGGGUGUUGGUGGAAAGGGAUUUUGUACUGGUUUUAGAUGGGCUCACGGCCUAUCAGCUUGUUGGUGAGGUAACGGCUCACCAAGGCGACGACGGGUAGCCGGCCUGAGAGGGUGACCGGCCACACUGGGACUGAGACACGGCCCAGACUCCUACGGGAGGCAGCAGUGGGGAAUAUUGCACAAUGGGCGCAAGCCUGAUGCAGCGACGCCGCGUGAGGGAUGACGGCCUUCGGGUUGUAAACCUCUUUCAGCAGGGGAGAAGCGAAAGUGACGGUACCUGCAGAAGAAGCGCCGGCUAACUACGUGCCAGCAGCCGCGGUAAUACGUAGGGCGCGAGCGUUGUCCGGAAUUAUUGGGCGUAAAGAGCUUGUAGGCGGUUUGUCGCGUCUGCUGUGAAAGCCCGGGGCUUAACCCCGGGUUUGCAGUGGGUACGGGCAGACUAGAGUGCAGUAGGGGAGACUGGAAUUCCUGGUGUAGCGGUGAAAUGCGCAGAUAUCAGGAGGAACACCGAUGGCGAAGGCAGGUCUCUGGGCUGUAACUGACGCUGAGAAGCGAAAGCAUGGGGAGCGA
RNAcentral lists this ribosomal RNA (670 nucleotides) under Rothia nasimurium. RNAcentral's name for it is "bacterial SSU rRNA". It matches the Rfam family "Bacterial small subunit ribosomal RNA", at positions 93 to 771 of the family's 1533-position model. The record is from RNAcentral. RNAcentral also lists the same sequence under 1 other name. Lineage: Bacteria; Bacillati; Actinomycetota; Actinomycetes; Micrococcales; Micrococcaceae.